This 491-nucleotide ribosomal RNA is filed under the name uncultured bacterium. Its description in RNAcentral is "partial 16S ribosomal RNA". It matches the Rfam family "Bacterial small subunit ribosomal RNA", at positions 29 to 506 of the family's 1533-position model. The record is from RNAcentral.
AGUGAACGCUGGCGGUAUGCCUAACACAUGCAAGUCGAACGGCAGCACAGUAAGAGCUUGCUCUUACGGGUGGCGAGUGGCGGACGGGUGAGGAAGACAUCGGAAUCUGCUUUUUCGUGGGGGAUGGCGUAGGGAAACUUACGCUAAUACCUCAUACGACCUAAGUGUGAAUGCAGGGGAUCUUCGGACCUUGCGCGAUUUAAUGAUCGGAUGUCGGAUGAGCUAGUUUGCGGGGUAAAGGCGCACCAAGGCGACGAUCCGUAGCUGGUCUGAGAGGAUGAUCAGACACACUGGAACUGAGACACGGUCCAGACUCACACGGGAGGCAGCAGUGGGGAAUAUUGGACAAUGGGCGCGAGCCUGAUACAGCCAUAGCGCGUGGGUGAAGAAGGCCUUCGGGUUGUAAAGCCGUUUUGUUGGGAAAGAAAAGCAGCAGGUUAAGACCCCGCUGUUCUGACGGUACCAACAGAAUAAGCACCGGCUAACUGCGU